GACGAACGCUGGCGGCGCGCUUAACACAUGCAAGUCGAGCGAUGAAAUUUCGACAGAUCCCUUCGGGGUGAAGAUGAAAUGGAUUAGCGGCGGACGGGUGAGUAACACGUGAGUAACCUGCCUUUGACAUUGGGAUAGUCUCGGGAAACUGGGAUUAAUACCAAAUGACACUAACUGAUCACAUGAUCAAUUAGUCAAAGAAAUUCGGUCAAAGAUGGACUCGCGGCUGAUUAGCUAGUUGGUGAGGUAACGGCCCACCAAGGCGACGAUCAGUAGCCGGCCUGAGAGGGUGAUCGGCCACAUUGGAACUGAGACACGGUCCAAACUCCUACGGGAGGCAGCAGUGGGGAAUAUUGCACAAUGGGGGAAACCCUGAUGCAGCGACGCCGCGUGAGCGAAGAAGGCCUUCGGGUCGUAAAGCUCUUUUAUGAGGGAAGAUAAUGACGGUACCUCAAGAAAAAGCCCCGGCUAACUACGUG
RNAcentral lists this ribosomal RNA (479 nucleotides) under uncultured bacterium. Its description in RNAcentral is "partial 16S ribosomal RNA". It matches the Rfam family "Bacterial small subunit ribosomal RNA", at positions 28 to 507 of the family's 1533-position model. The record is from RNAcentral.